UGCCAGCCGCCGCGGUAAUACAGAGGGUGCAAGCGUUAUCCGGAUUUACUGGGUUUAAAGGGUGCGUAGGCGGAUAAUUAAGUCAGUGGUGAAAGCCCGAAGCUCAACUUCGGAACUGCCAUUGAAACUGUUUAUCUUGAGUAUAGUUGAAGUGGGCGGAAUACAUCAUGUAGCGGUGAAAUGCUUAGAUAUGAUGUAGAACGCCAAUUGCGUAAGCAGCUCACUAAGCUAUCACUGACGCUCAGGCACGAAAGCGUGGGGAGCGAACAGGAUUAGAUA
This 279-nucleotide ribosomal RNA is filed under the name uncultured bacterium. Its description in RNAcentral is "partial 16S ribosomal RNA". It matches the Rfam family "Bacterial small subunit ribosomal RNA", at positions 506 to 784 of the family's 1533-position model. The record is from RNAcentral.